This 70-nucleotide transfer RNA is filed under the name Alosa alosa (allis shad). Its description in RNAcentral is "tRNA-OTHER". The record is from RNAcentral. Lineage: Eukaryota; Metazoa; Chordata; Actinopteri; Clupeiformes; Clupeidae.
GCAGUCGUGGCCUGGUUAGGGCUUCGGGCUUGGAACCGGAGGGUUGCCGGUUCGAUCCCUGACCAGUGGG